CUUCAAUACUCAACGAAAUUGAGUGAAACAAAAAGGAAAGUUGUAGUACUUGACGAGACGAAGAGAUUGAUACCUACCUCGACUCUUAACUCGCCGGGGAUUCGCCGGAAAAAGCCUCGAAAGCUCCGGCCAAACUUUGAACUUGUCGAUCUCAGUGUUCUUACGUCCAAAAACUUCCCACGAAGCACUCCGAGCUUCCUUGGGACCUCACUAAGCUCACUAUAAGCUUAGAAUUCCCUGAAACACAACAUUUUACGUUCACAUGAACAGUGACCAAAAAUGGAGGUUCGGGUUUCACAUGAUUCCGAAGGUUUCACUUCCUAAAACUAGUACCAAUGAACUCAGAAUGACGAAAGGAUGAAGAUGCAUACCUUAGUUGCCUCGAUCCGUCGAGUUUUGGAGGAUUUGGGUGUAUGCCGUACGUUUUGGGUGAGAGAGAGUGAGAGAGAAAGAGGAAGUCGUGAGGGAGGAGAGAGAAUGAACUGAGAGAGAGACAAGGUACGGGAAAGAGGGAGAAAAUUGAGGGGUGUGGGAUCCUACCCAAUCCCCAACUACAAAAUUCUAACAUAAAUUUAAAUCUAAGUCUCCACUCUACUUACCAAAUUUUAGGAGCUUAGAUAUAACGAACAUAAAAAUUAUACCUUAGCCACGUAUUAGGGGCAUUUUCGUAAUUUCACAUCCUCGGAAUUAAAAAUUCCGGGACGGGCUGUGACAAUCUUCCCUCCUUAUAGAAUUUCGUCCCCGAAAUUCCAACAACCAAUCCAAACAUCUACUCAUACCAACCUCGGUAAAUCUCUCUUAUCCGAUUCUCUUUCUCCCACGUAAUUUUCUUCCACUGAAUGAUUUCCUUCACAAAGCUUUUACCACUUACUCUGUCUUAAUUCUCAAGACUUUCUUUUUCCAAUCCAAAGUCGUCCUUGGUUCCUUAUCAAUUCGAAUCCAAUUUAAUUCUCAAUAGUUGCACCAGAAUCUCAUGUGACGAAUCUGCCACCUAGUGACAACGUAUCGAACCCAAAAUACAUUAAGUACCUUAGCCAACUCUGAAGACAUCACCACUUGUAUGCAACUUUAUUGAUUCCUUUAGUGAUCAAAAAUGGUCUGAUGUGUCUAAAUCUUAUUUUGUCUCCUUUCCAACCCGAAUUAUACUUUUCUAUGGUGAACACUUCGAAAAUAUAAAACCAUUUGUCUUAUACACUCGAUUAGUGGCAUAUCCCUCUGUUAAUCUCUUUUGCCUCAAUCUGCUGACCAAAUAAAACUGUCGAAUGGUAUGAUAAAUCUUAUUACUUUUGGAAUAUUACAGAAGUUAAACAAUGUACUUCGUCCAAAAUUGCUUACUUUAAAUCCUUAGCAUUAGGCACAUACUUUUUGUUUUCUUGUAUCCACAUACCAUUUGAUUCACGAAUCAUGUACUCAUUCUUUUUCCCUUCUUUCUCUGCCUUGGUUAAUUCUUAAAUUUCCUCGUCAAACAUUUAAGUUUCGAGUACGACCUUACCAAAUAGGCCUAACUUGAAAUUUAACAAGUAUAACUUCUUCUCGAUCUUUCAUUCUUAACUUUUCUUCCAUUGGUUUUCAAUCCACAAGAUGAUACUCUUGGCAAACGUGCCAGAUAUUAAUCUUACUGUAGUCUUCUCACCAAGUGCUUCAGCUAGAACAAAUUUUACGAUCACCUUGAUCGUACAAUCAUGUUCAUUAAGCAAUACAAUUCACUUUCGCUGCCUCAUAUCAAAAUCCUUCCAAGUAAUGGAUAUUGAAGACUUUUUGGAUUCGUAAAAAUCUUGCAUUCUUACCAAAUAUAUAAUGUCUCCAUAACUUCACAGUAAGAAUGGUAAUCAUGACUUCCAAGUCACUCGUAGGGUAAUUCAUCUCAUGAGGUUCCAUUUAUCAUGAAACGUAUGCAAUCACCCUAACAUUUGCAUCAACAUGCCUCCAAUACCAUUCAAGAAACAUCACUAAAAAUUUAUGAUUACCACUAUUCUCUGGGAAUACCAAAUUACGUGCAUGAGUGAGGAAAUACUUCAGUUGUUGAAUCAUUUGCUCACAAUUUCCUUCCCACUCAUACAUAACCUCUUUUCUCAACAGUCUCGUUAAUGACAAAGCAAUGACUAAAAAUUCUUUCACAACCAUCCAAAAUAGCCUGGUAAGCUAAGAAAUUCCAAAUCUCAAUUACGACUCGUGGUUGUUCCAAAUUCUCAAUUUCUGCUAUCUUUUAAGAAUUCAUUUGAAUACCUUAAGCAGAUAUAACCAAUCUCAGAAUGCCACUUGAUUCAUCCAACAUUCGCAUUUGCUAAACUUAGCAUACAACCAACGUUCUCUCAAUCUUUGCUUCACCGACUUAAUACGUUUACAUGCUCUGCUCUGGCUCAGAAUAUGCCAGAAUAUCUUCAAUGAAAAUGAUAUCAAUUUAUCAAGGCAUUAUUGGAAUACUUCAUCCAUCAACUCAUAAAACAGCAUGAGUAUCCAUAUAGCAUCACCAAACUUCAUAAAGACUAUAACAAGUCCAGAAAACCAUCUUAUGAUCAACGUCACUUAUAAUAUUCAAUUGGUAGAACCAGAUCUCAAUUCAAUCUUUGAAUCUUCGCAAUUACUUCUGAGCUGGUUAAAUAAACAUCAGUACAUCACCAUGGAUAACGGUUCUCAAUCGUUACCCGACUCCAUUGUCUAUAAUCAAUGAACAAUCUCAAGAUCCAUUUUUCUUCCUCACCAACAAACUGGGCUCCUCAAAAGUGUUGUACUAGGUUGAAUAAAACUUUUAUCAACCAAUUCUCUCAACUGAAUUUCCAAUUCCCUUAACUCAUCCUGAACCAAUCUCCAAUAUAAAUUUAUACCUGGCAACAAAUCAAUAAUGAACCUCAUAUCUCUGCCUGAAGGCAAUCCAGGUAUACUUUCAAGGAAGACAUCAAGAAAAGUCUAACUCUUUCGACAUUAUUCACACUACUCCAAACAACAUCAUUUAGCACCACAUGAGCUAAGUAUUUUUGACAGCCUUUCGAAAACAAUCUCUUUGCUCUCACAGCAUAAAUAACAGCCUGACUCAAUCCAUUUUGCAUACUUACAAAAGUAAUCUCUGUUCAUCCAUAUCGAUGGAAAGUACUGGUUUCCCGUAACAUUCCGUCUUGUCACAAUUAUAACCAACCAAUCUAAUGGAACAGAAUUAACUGAUACAAUAUAUAUUCUAUUAUUAUUAAGCAUUCUAAAUAAGUACAAUACUAACAUAAAAUAAUCUACCGGUUUGCUUGCUUAACGAAUCCACGAAUGAGUUAUUAAUAUUACGGUCUGCAGCCCGCAAUACUGAUAAAUCAUCGUUGUCUCGAUAAGUAGGCAACCACUCUCAAAGAUAUAACAUUACUAUUUUGUUACUCAAUGCAAAAUACAUACACUCGUCUCAACUACAUUUAUUUACUACUCUCUAGGUAAUAACAUACAUAAUAAGAAAUAUAUCAGCCGAAGUCAACUAGAAUGACCAAUACGGCUGAUUCAACUCUUAUCUCAAUAAUACGUCGGCCGGAUCCACUCCGCGUGGUCGGUAUGGCUGAGCCUAUAACUCACCAUUUCUCAUGUGUCAAUCGAAUCCACUUCUCAUGGUCUGUACGACUGAACAUAUAACUCAUCAAAUCUCUCUGUACUCACAGUCAAUCCGACCAAACUACUAAAUUCAUAAACUUGUUGAAUCAACACUAUGAUAUCAUGGAAAAUUGUUGAGUACAACUGAUUCUAGGGACGAUUCACAAUUCUGUGUCCCCUCUGUUCACAUAAACACAUUCAUUAAUUUCACAUUUCCCAAAGUGUUAAUUUUUUUUUUUUUUUUUUUUUUUUUUUUUUUUUUUUUUUUUUUUUUUUUUUUUUUUUUUUUUUUGUACCUGCUGCACAAGGUACAUUUCCUUUACUCGAGACACCUUGUCUCAAAUAUCUGGGAUUACCAGUAUAUCCAUCACUUUUACUCUGACCAGCGACAUUAAAACCUCAGCUGGAAGAAUUAACUCUAGCUUCACUUCUUUCGAAGCUCUGAAUCUUUCUAUAUCCUUGAUAUGACGAAUCAUUGACUUUAUCGUCUUCUUUUGAGUCUCAUUCAUUUCUUAUUCUUCUUUAUUCUCGUUGCUCAUGUUCUCAGAGUCCUCAAGACUCAACAGCAUCUCGCAUACUCCUGAUAAGAAUUACAAUGGAUAGUGGUCACCCAAAAUACCACUUCCCUUUUGCCACCCAGCCUAAAACAACAUAACACCUCCACCAAAUUCACAACAAUAUCUGGAUAGAACGAGGCAAGUCUGAAAACUUUCUAUAAUAUCCCUCGAUCAUCACCUUCCUUGUCUCAUAUUUGUAAACUCUUGUUUACCACCAUCGAUAAAUGCCGGAGGGAUAAACUUUUCCUUUAAACAAGUCCUUAAACAAUUCUCAAUCGACUGAUUCCUAUGGUGACAACAAUUCAUACUCCUGUUUCCACCAGGAUACAAAUUCAUAACCAAAACCAGGUAGUCGUCUCGACCCCUUGUCAGAAGGAAAUUUCCUUUGACUUGCAUAAUCUGAAACAUCUUUUCCAAUUGGUUAAACCGUUACUUCGCUCCCUCAGGUUCAUCAUUUCAUAAGGUGAUUCAAAUUCAACUCAUAACCCAUCUUAAAAUGUCCCUUUUUAUAAUAGACUGAAUCACCAUAAUAAUAGUUUUCCCUAAACCGCUAUAUUAGGGAGACUAAAUUCCUCUAACUACGUGGUUUGCUACGAGGCGGUGUAGUUCUGACAGAAUUCACUAUAAACUUCUCAAGAUGUCCAAGAUUGCAACCAUGCUCUGAUACCAACUGACAUACCCCAUCCCGAAGGAGGGCAUGCUGGCCGUCACGUGAGAGUGACGUAACCAUUUGCACAGUACGGAAGCUUUAAGAUACAAUUUAAGUUGAUACACCCGAAGGUGAGUCCUAAUUUUGUCCAAUCUGUCAGAACACCGUCGAAUUCCUCGUAGUCACCACACCUUUGUGAUUCCUGAACCUGGAGGGGCGCAAAACCAAAAUUGAGUGGGUCAGUAAAACAAUUCUUUUCCAAAUCCAAACAAUUUUCAAAACGUUGUAACCCCUCUCCGUAAAACCUGUAUAUUUUCCCAGAAAUGUAAAAUAUAAAUAUACAUAUAUAUUCUCAAAACUUCAAGUCGUUAACUCAACAUUUUCAUAACAAUUAUGCCAUGCCACAUCAUCUCAACAUUUCUCAUAUUAAUUAUGCCAUGCCACAUCAUCUCAACAGUAAUAAGGUAUGAAUGCAUCAACAUAAUCAUAUCAGGUGCAAGAAAGUAAUCAACCGUAGGCCCUCUAAUAGCCCUGUACGGUUGAACCUAGAGCUCAAAAUCUAUCAUUAUCACUCUACCGGAGUCACCUCUGUGACCCGUCCGGCCUUCUGCACACAAGUUACGCUCUAGUGCUUCUCAUAAGUCAUCUGUGCACAUAAUCUAAGGUCACCCACCAGUCGGAAUCUCACUAACACUCUCGCGACUGGUCUGUCGUACCCACUCCGCGUGGACUGUACGACUAGCAUCUACUUGGAUCCAAGGCGAGCGUGCGAUGCGGUGAAUACUAUAAGCACUAAACCAUGGUGCAGGAUUUGAGCUCAAUAUAUAUCAUCAUCAUAAUAACAGUAAUUAAAUUCUUACCUGUGCGUCCACCGCACCAAUUCAUACAUAUGCAUCAUAAAUCAAUUCUUACCUGUGCGUCCACCGCACCAAUUCAUACAUAUGCAUCAUAUAUUAAUUCAUGCAUGGCAUUUCAACUCACAUUUCUAUAUACUUUUCAUAUCAAUUCUAUGCAUGGUAUUUCACUUCCCGUUUUUCCACAUAACUCAUAUGCAUUUCAUUUUAAACAUAUUUUCAUUUCAAUUCAAUUUCUGGGAAACGUCAAGUAUAUAUAUAUACGGAAAACAAAACUGCCCACUCACCUGGAGUUCGCCCUACAACUCCCUAGCACAAUACGCCAAGGCGUCAUGACGAUCGCCGCCUAGAAUAGUAAUCAAAUCCAGGCUCAGAAUUCAUAUCGAUAAAAUAUAACUUAUAUAAAAUACGUCACUACGUAGUUCGAUCCGGAAGAUCUGCCACUCAGAUUUUAAAUCCAUAACUUCCAGAGGUCCACAAUAUAUCUCUAGGAUAACAUCCUAAAAUUUCAUUACCAUCCAACGGUUGGAUCUCCGUCAAUUUCCAAAACUAAGUGACGGUUAACAUUUUAUAUUAUGGACUUACAAUUCCAAUUCCGGAAGAUCCGUAACUCGGAUUCCCAAUCCGUAAGUUCCAAUAAUCCUCAAAUAUUACGUAUUACAACGUAUCAAAGUUUGGUGACAAUCCAACGGUCGGAUCAUCAAUUCACAUUUUCACCAAAACUAUAAAACGUUAUUCGAACACCUAACCAACAAUCCUUAAUAACUUUCUCAUACGGUGUUCAAUUUAGGUAUAUGAAUAUACCACAGUGAUCUACUCGACGUCACGGACGUCGACAUAUUUUUAAAAUAUUUUUAUUUUUAUUUUUUUAUUUUACUGUAGCACCAUCUUCUUCCUUGGGUCGCCGGACUGGUUUUUCCGGCGGCCGUUUUCCGGGCAGUUUUUCAAAUUGCCAUAACUUUGUCAUUUCUCAACGAAAUCAAGUGAUUCAAAAACGAAAGUUGUAGCCCUUGAAGAGACAAAGAGAAUGGUACCUUGCACAACACCUAGUUCGCCGUGGUUUGGCCGGAAACUGCCUCGAAAGCCUCGGAGGUCGCCGGAAACUGGGUAUUUUUCAAAUGAGUAUAACUUCUUCAAUACUCAACGAAAUUGAGUGAAACAAAAAGGAAAGUUGUAGUACUUGACGAGACGAAGAGAUUGAUACCUACCUCGACUCUUAACUCGCCGGGGAUUCGCCGGAAAAAGCCUCGAAAGCUCCGGCCAAACUUUGAACUUGUCGAUCUCAGUGUUCUUACGUCCAAAAACUUCCCACGAAGCACUCCGAGCUUCCUUGGGACCUCACUAAGCUCACUAUAAGCUUAGAAUUCCCUGAAACACAACAUUUUACGUUCACAUGAACAGUGACCAAAAAUGGAGGUUCGGGUUUCACAUGAUUCCGAAGGUUUCACUUCCUAAAACUAGUACCAAUGAACUCAGAAUGACGAAAGGAUGAAGAUGCAUACCUUAGUUGCCUCGAUCCGUCGAGUUUUGGAGGAUUUGGGUGUAUGCCGUACGUUUUGGGUGAGAGAGAGUGAGAGAGAAAGAGGAAGUCGUGAGGGAGGAGAGAGAAUGAACUGAGAGAGAGACAAGGUACGGGAAAGAGGGAGAAAAUUGAGGGGUGUGGGAUCCUACCCAAUCCCCAACUACAAAAUUCUAACAUAAAUUUAAAUCUAAGUCUCCACUCUACUUACCAAAUUUUAGGAGCUUAGAUAUAACGAACAUAAAAAUUAUACCUUAGCCACGUAUUAGGGGCAUUUUCGUAAUUUCACAUCCUCGGAAUUAAAAAUUCCGGGACGGGCUGUGACA
This 7466-nucleotide long non-coding RNA is filed under the name Malus domestica (apple). RNAcentral describes it as "long non-coding RNA (MDOM_LNC011757)". Lineage: Eukaryota; Viridiplantae; Streptophyta; Magnoliopsida; Rosales; Rosaceae. The record is from RNAcentral.